CCCUUCCCGAUGUUUAUAAAGCUCUGCGCACAAUACAAAACAGCUAUUCUCAAGACUUAGUAAAAGGUGUCACAGGCUCACAACAAGCUUUCAACCUAGCAACUUGACCUCAACUGAUCUCCAGGAUAAAUGUGGCUGACAAAUUCAUGUGAAGAAUUUAAAGGAGAAGCAAAUUCUGCAGUGCAACUGUUGAUCCAAUUCCUAUUGCUGCCUGUGUGGUGUGUUGGACUGGAUGUCCUUUAAAGAUCCAUUCCCACCCAGACCAUUUUGUGAUUUUUUGAUUCUUUAUUAAGUCUGUAGAAAACCUAAUAACCUGUAAAGUGGAAGAGUGAAUCCACCACUGCUGUCCCACAGACACUGCUGACAGCUCAACCUGUCACAUAUCAGAUGCCUCAAGGUGAUAUCCUCACCCUCUCCUUCCAGUUGCUGGAUGAAAAACAGAUUUCUGAAACACUCCUGCAGUUUGUGGUCUCCACUGCACUCAUUUGUACACAAGUCAGCUGGGAUACAGAGAAAAGCAAAUUUCAAGGCGAGGUGUUCCUGCAGAGCUGUCUGCUACAUAUCCUGCACACAGGACACUGGGCAAGUAUUUAAACGUCUCCAUGGAAUUCACUGCUUCAGAAUCCAGCAAACAAUGAAGGACCAUUGGUGA
RNAcentral lists this long non-coding RNA (652 nucleotides) under Parus major (Great Tit). RNAcentral describes it as "lncRNA (ENSPMJG00000005010.1)". Lineage: Eukaryota; Metazoa; Chordata; Aves; Passeriformes; Paridae. The record is from RNAcentral.